This 380-nucleotide ribosomal RNA is filed under the name uncultured eukaryote. RNAcentral describes it as "partial 18S ribosomal RNA". It matches the Rfam family "Eukaryotic small subunit ribosomal RNA", at positions 592 to 976 of the family's 1831-position model. The record is from RNAcentral.
CAAUAGCGUAUAUUAAAGUUGUUGCAGUUAAAAAGCUCGUAGUUGGAUCUGUGGUGUGCGGUGGGCUCCGGGCACUUGUUGUCUGAGUAGCUCGCCGCUGCCAUCCUUGGGUGGAACCUGUGUGGCAUUAGGUUGUCGUGCAGGGGAUGCCCAUCGUUUACUGUGAAAAAAUUAGAGUGUUCAAAGCAGGCUUAUGCCGUUGAAUAUAUUAGCAUGGAAUAAUGAGAUAGGACUUUUUCGCUAUUUUGUUGGUUUGCGCGAAGAGGUAAUGAUCAAUAGGGACAGUUGGGGGUAUUCGUAUUCCAUUGUCAGAGGUGAAAUUCUUGGAUUUUUGGAAGACGAACUACUGCGAAAGCAUUUACCAAGGAUGUUUUCAUUAA